CUGACUGCUCUGGAGACUGAAGUUCUCUGCAUAUCCUCAGAACAGGUGUGGCAUGAGUUAGCAGCAGCUUUCUCACAUUGCUACAACUAUGUGCCUCAACUCCACAAAAGAGAGAACACCUGAAAGCGUGACAAAGGAGGUUAGUCUCUAGGCAACCUCUGUACAGAGAUGGU
Molecule: small RNA, 173 nt
Filed under: Chrysemys picta bellii (western painted turtle)
Lineage: Eukaryota; Metazoa; Chordata; Testudines; Emydidae
Description: TUC338 (ENSCPBG00000019308.1)
Source: RNAcentral